This 465-nucleotide ribosomal RNA is filed under the name uncultured bacterium. RNAcentral describes it as "partial 16S ribosomal RNA". It matches the Rfam family "Bacterial small subunit ribosomal RNA", at positions 338 to 795 of the family's 1533-position model. The record is from RNAcentral.
CCUACGGGAGGCAGCAGUAGGGAAUUUUCCACAAUGGGCGAAAGCCUGAUGGAGCAACGCCGCGUGGGUGAAGAAGGUCUUCGGAUCGUAAAACCCUGUUGUUAGAGAAGAAAGUGCGUGAGAGUAACUGUUCACGUUUCGACGGUAUCUAACCAGAAAGCCACGGCUAACUACGUGCCAGCAGCAGCGGUAAUACGUAGGUGGCAAGCGUUAUCCGGAUUGAUUGGGCGUAAAGGGAACGCAGGCGGUCUUUUAAGUCUGAUGUGAAAGCCUUCGGCUUAACCGGAGUAGUGCAUUGGAAACUGGGAGACUUGAGUGCAGAAGAGGAGAGUGGAACUCCAUGUGUAGCGGUGAAAUGCGUAGAUAUAUGGAAGAACACCAGUGGCGAAAGCGGCUCUCUGGUCUGUAACUGACGCUGAGGUUCGAAAGCGUGGGUAGCAAACAGGAUUAGAUACCCUGGUAGUC